Mastomys coucha (southern multimammate mouse) is the source of this 132-nucleotide small nucleolar RNA. RefSeq annotates it as small nucleolar RNA SNORA17. NCBI's taxonomy places the organism in Eukaryota, Metazoa, Chordata, Mammalia, Rodentia, Muridae. The transcript has a single exon. The record is from RefSeq and is a predicted model, not a curated record.
ACUGCCCCUAGAAGCAUUGCAGGUGUGGCUGCUGUGUCCCAUGGGCAUUUGUAGGUAGCAGAGAGGAGAGAGGCUGUGUCUACACUCAGUGUUCUGACCUAUGAACAUCUGAGUGAUUAGGAGUCUAACAUU